This 253-nucleotide ribosomal RNA is filed under the name uncultured bacterium. RNAcentral describes it as "partial 16S ribosomal RNA". It matches the Rfam family "Bacterial small subunit ribosomal RNA", at positions 524 to 776 of the family's 1533-position model. The record is from RNAcentral.
UACGUAGGGUGCAGGCGUUAAUCGGAAUUACUGGGCGUAAAGUGUGCGCAGGCGGCAGAGCAAGUCGAGUGUGAAAGCCCCGGGCUUAACUUGGGAAUUGCGCUCGAAACUACUUUGCUGGAGUGUGGCGGAGGAAGGUGGAAUUCCACGUGUAGCGGUGAAAUGCGUAGAGAUGUGGAGGAACACCAAUGGCGAAGGCAGCCUUCUGGGCCAACACUGACGCUCAUGCACGAAAGCGUGGGGAGCAAACAGG